RNAcentral lists this non-coding RNA (112 nucleotides) under Sphingomonas sp. RNAcentral describes it as "Glycine sequence". It matches the Rfam family "Glycine riboswitch aptamer". From Rfam's summary of the family: This family represents the bacterial glycine riboswitch. Glycine riboswitches usually consist of two metabolite-binding aptamers domains with similar structures in tandem. The record is from RNAcentral. Lineage: Bacteria; Pseudomonadati; Pseudomonadota; Alphaproteobacteria; Sphingomonadales; Sphingomonadaceae.
CCACGACACUCUGGAAAGCGUUCCCCUUUCGCGAGGGGAACCACCGAAGGGGUAACCUCGCCCGGCGACGGCGCGGGGGAAAGCUCUCAGGUUCCGUGACAGAGGGGGAAAC